AUAAGCGGAGGAAAAGAAACCAACAGGGAUUGCCUCAGUAACGGCGAGUGAAGCGGCAAAAGCUCAAAUUUGAAAUCUAGCACCUUCGGUGUUCGAGUUGUAAUUUGAAGAUGGUAACCUUGGGUUUGGCUCUUGUCUAUGUUCCUUGGAACAGGACGUCAUAGAGGGUGAGAAUCCCGUCUGAUGAGAUGCCCAUUCCUAUGUAAGGUGCUAUCGAAGAGUCGAGUUGUUUGGGAAUGCAGCUCUAAGUGGGUGGUAAAUUCCAUCUAAAGCUAAAUAUUGGCGAGAGACCGAUAGCGAACAAGUACAGUGAUGGAAAGAUGAAAAGAACUUUGAAAAGAGAGUGAAAAAGUACGUGAAAUUGUUGAAAGGGAAGGGCAUUAGAUCAGACUUGGUGUUUUACGAUUAUCUUCUCUUCUUGAGUUGUGCACUCGUAUUUCACUGGGCCAGCAUCGAUUCGGAUGGCAAGAUAAUGGCAGUUGAAUGUGGCUUCACUUCGGUGGAGUGUUAUAGCUUCUGCUGAUAUUGCCUGUCUGGAUCGAGGGCUGCGUCUUUUGACUAGGAUGCUGGCGUAAUGAUCUAAUGCCGCCCGUCUUGAAAC
This 601-nucleotide ribosomal RNA is filed under the name Hansenula anomala. Its description in RNAcentral is "eukaryotic LSU rRNA". It matches the Rfam family "Eukaryotic large subunit ribosomal RNA", at positions 46 to 660 of the family's 3401-position model. Lineage: Eukaryota; Fungi; Ascomycota; Saccharomycetes; Phaffomycetales; Wickerhamomycetaceae. The record is from RNAcentral.